CAUAACGCUCCGAAGCUUCCUGAAGCAGUGUUUUGAAAUCGGCCAUCACUAUAUAAGUCGUUAUUUUGUUGUCGUCGCUUUAUAAUAUUAAUAUUGAACCACUGUACUCACAUGAACGGAUUUAAAUAUGUUUUUAGUACAUUAAUGGAUCUUGAGAGAGGAAAUGUCGUUGCUGGCUAUGGAGGCCUCACUGAGCCAUCGGAUUUCAACAAAAAUAUCUUAAUUUGUGUUCCGAAGAUUAAAGAAGGUCUUACAGGUGUGGAACGCCAUGAGGCCCAGCGAUUUGACCCACAGGAUUAACAAGUCAGUGUUUAUGACAGAGGCCACGGAGGAAACCCACACACACACACACAUUAUCCUGAGCCUGUUGCUUGUGUGAAAUUCAACCCAUGACUCUCUAAUGGAAGUUAACAUCAGCAUUCUAAGUUGACAUGUGCUGUCAGAUGCCAAAAUUGUGAUGACCUUAAUUAGCAGUUAGUUAAUUUGCAAUUUAAGACCGGGUAUGUUUUGUAAUAGAUGCGUAAUAAACCCUAAUGAAUACAUCAGCUGUUAUGCAGUUAGUUUACUUCUAUUUAAAGUUCCUUAGCGGAGUAAUUUUCUAAAUAUGCGAUGGACGCACUGGUAAGGUGUGAAUUUCCUGACGCUAAUAUAAGACACAGAUGAGCGGCUACUUCUGCCAGGGCAAAACAACACACAGAAAUGCACAAAUGGCUUGAUAGAGAGCCGGGUACAUUCUUAUGCCAUGCCCUACACCCGCAACCACGUCGUUUUCUGACAAUCCAUCACCACUGUGCGAGCCAAGGGCUAAAUGAAAACCAAAAAUGCCAUACCUGCAGAAAGCUGAGCCAGCUAACAUAUGGGUGUCAGUUUGCUCAUGUCGUGUAGGAGCAUUUUACGAGGUGAUGUUAAUGGGAUACAGAAACGAGGUCCUUCUUCUGCACACUUCAUCUCAGUGUAUGUCAUCCCUCAGGCCUCCUGAACCUGCGCUGAGGUCAGAAACAGGAGAACUAGAUAGAUUAUCCAGACCAGAUACAAGUUGUUCACACACACUGAGAAACAGAAUGCACUUUAAAGGUCACACAUCCUGUGGAUUCAUGUACUGGAUAAUAUAAAAGCACAUACCAGAUGUUAAUUUCUAUUCAAAAAUGUUUCCAAUGUCUUCUAUUGCUCUCUCACAAAUGUGUAUAAAUGUUAAAGAUAAUAAUAGAAGUAUUUCUGGUAUUCAUUUUAACUCCAGCACUUACACCCACAUGGGGACAACAAGUCACAUGCUUGCUCAUUUCCACCAGAAGCAACAAGUCAGGAUAUCAACUUCCUAUUGAACUCACAAUGGUUUGGAAUCAAUCUCAUAAAUUUCAAUAAAAGCCAAUCUUUGAAGCUG
This is a long non-coding RNA of Ctenopharyngodon idella (grass carp), 1381 nucleotides long. RefSeq lists it as uncharacterized. The record is from RefSeq and is a predicted model, not a curated record. The transcript has 2 exons. Lineage: Eukaryota; Metazoa; Chordata; Actinopteri; Cypriniformes; Xenocyprididae.